This 338-nucleotide unclassified non-coding RNA is filed under the name Hevea brasiliensis (rubber tree). The record is from RNAcentral. Lineage: Eukaryota; Viridiplantae; Streptophyta; Magnoliopsida; Malpighiales; Euphorbiaceae.
GAACUUUUAACAUUAUCAUGAAAUUUAAAUGACAUUUUUACUCUAAUUAUACGUCCAUGUGAGUAUGACUUUCUCAUACAAAAACUAAUAAAUGACUCUUUUUUUUCGAUGUAACUUUAUUGGAGGAGGUGACCAACAAAUUGGCAUCUUAAGGGUUCAUAUUUGAUUAGUUACUCAAAAUUGGUAUAAAUCUUAAGGACUGAUAAAAUUGGUAUAGAUUUAGAAUUGAAGAAAAUGAUUUAAAGAAUUUUUUGUCAUUACGCCAAAAAGAAGAUAAGGAAUGGGAUUGAAACUGAGCCGAUGUGACACUAAUGCUUAAACAAAUUGACUAAUUGAAA